CUACCUGUUCAUCAAGCAGGUGAACGGCAGUACAGAAUUUACUUUUUUAUUUCUUUGGGCGUUCUGAAAAAACAUGGAGAUACAUUUCUGUGUAAUGAGGAAGGGUUAGGAUCAGCUUAUUUAAUAAAGAUUAGUGAAAGCCUAUCCAAAAUGUUUUCCCUCCAGGGCACAAAAAUCUCCUUCAAGUAGCUAAAUUAAAAGACUCAUCAAAUGCCCACAGAGUAACUGAACAUAAUUUUUAAAUCAACCCUUACUCUAAAUGUCAGGAAAAGAAAGAAGACUUGAGGAAGAUUUGGCAUUUCUGACACUUGGAAAAUCAAGUCCACAAAUAAACAGCUGCUGUCAAAGAAGGUGAGUGAGAUGUUUACAAGGUAACUCCACCUGCUUCUGCUCUCCGUUUGCCCACUCACUCUUUCAACAUUCACUGAACACCUAACUGUGCAGAGUGCUGUACGAGGUGCUGAGCAGGAACCCGGGCUCUUGCUGCAUGUUCAUAUCAUUUGUGGACUGAGAUAUUAGUGAUGUCCAGAGCAGUGAAACAUAUUGAAACAAGACAACACUUGCAAAGACAAUCUUUAAUAUUAAGCAACACUUCCUAUUUGCCCAUCCACUAACCCUUAAGACAUUCUUCUCAUUGCCCCCAUGAGCACAGCUUUGCCUAUAAUAGUGCAUAAAGGGCAUCUUUGUUCUCCUCCGAGUGAACUCAGCACAAGCCCAGGGAACAGUGAAACACCCGGGUGGAAAUGAGGUGUCUCUGUGACAGCAGACUCAUUCUUUGGCCCCCAUUUACCCAGAUCAACAUGACUGAGUCAGCAGUGGAUGAAACCGAUGAUUGUUUUAUUCUGCGUUCCCCAGUCACUCCCUGAGUCAGUGGGUAAACUGGGACUAGAACCCAGCCUUGUCCUACCCCGGCUGAGCAGUUCUACUAUAUUUAUCCAGGGUCUCAUGAUUCUUAGUGCUUUUGCUCUGCCCUCUAAUUUGCACUGUGCCUGCUAUAAUAUCAGAACGGGAAGUUGCUAGCUAAAAUGGUCAUUAUCCGGGAAAUCUAUUUAAACAUGUUUAUAAGGUCAGAUAAAGUGGGUGGUAGAUAAGCUAGACAGAAAACAACAAAAGCUUUGGCUUAGCCUAGCCAGUGAGCAAAAGCUAAAGACUGAAGUGUUUCAGUGUUGAACUAGCACAUGGUAGGAAAGGACAGCCUAACCAAAAUCAUGUCAAAAUGCAGAGGUGAACAGGCAAAAUAUUAAACAAACAAUUUCUAUUUCAGAAGCUGGACAAUGGACUUGACUCAUUCUAGCCUAAUGGAUUAGCAGCCUGUC
Molecule: long non-coding RNA, 1316 nt
Filed under: Marmota monax (woodchuck)
Lineage: Eukaryota; Metazoa; Chordata; Mammalia; Rodentia; Sciuridae
Source: RNAcentral